RNAcentral lists this ribosomal RNA (487 nucleotides) under uncultured Pseudomonadota bacterium. RNAcentral's name for it is "bacterial SSU rRNA". It matches the Rfam family "Bacterial small subunit ribosomal RNA", at positions 565 to 1050 of the family's 1533-position model. Lineage: Bacteria; Pseudomonadati; Pseudomonadota. The record is from RNAcentral.
GCGUGCGCAGGCGGUUUGCUAAGACAGUUGUGAAAUCCCCGGGCUCAACCUGGGAACUGCAAUUGUGACUGGUAGACUAGAGUUUGGCAGAGGGGGGUGGAAUUCCUGGUGUAGCAGUGAAAUGCGUAGAUAUCAGAAGGAAUACCAAUGGCGAAGGCAGCUCUCUGGCUCGUCACUGACGCUGAGGUGCGAAAGCGUGGGUAGCAAACAGGAUUAGAUACCCUGGUAGUCCACGCCGUAAACGAUGACAACUAGCCGUUGGGCAGAUUUAACUGUUCAGUGGCACAGCUAACGCAUUAAGUUGUCCGCCUGGGGAGUACGGCCGCAAGGCUAAAACUCAAAUGAAUUGACGGGGGCCCGCACAAGUGGUGGAGCAUGUGGUUUAAUUCGAUGCAACGCGAAGAACCUUACCAAUCCUUGAAAUCUAGCGAAGUUCGCAGAGAUGUGAAUGUGCCUUCGGGAACGCUAUGACAGGUGUUGCAUGGCU